CUGAAAUAACACAACUAUGAACAUAACCUCAAGCCCCAAUACAACCAAAAUCCUCUUGAACAACCACACAAGCGGCUCAACCCAAGUUCUAACUCCGUAAAUCAUAACCCCAAGCAUCUCAUCCACAACUACCACAACUUCCCAGACACCUCUGCAAUGGCUAAACCAAACCACUGAAAAAGAACAAUUAACAAAACAUUUUACAACCAACACGCCAACCACCGCAAACCAUAACCACAACCAAUACACGUCAACCACCACCACCACAACUACCCCCAUCAAUUAACACCAUUGUAACCACCACCAACAUAUCCACUUCCACCACUACCAACCACCAAACACCGAGGGUUUACUCUAUUCAUCGACACUGUUUAGGUUCAUUAAUGCCAAAUAUCAAGGUUACGACACUUUAUGGGUUCAUUAAUGCCAAAUAUCAAGGUUACGACACUUUAUGGGUUCAUUAAUGCCAAAUAUCAAGGUUAUGACAAAAUAAUUAUUCUUGUCUUCAGUAUUUUCACGUAUGUAUGUUGUAUACUAAUAAUGUUAAAAUUUUAGCCAAGUAGAUGAAUGUUACCGGACACUGCCAUGUUGUUGUGGCUGCUUAGGUGAAGUUGAUGGUCUUCUGUAAUAUUAAAUGACAAGAGGUGGGCAUCUUUAGUGAUAUUUUGUGGAGGUUGGAGGUUUAUCUGUGUGUGUGUGUGUGUGUGUAAAGGGGUGUGUGUAGAGGGGUGUGGUAAGUGUGGAGGUGUAUUGUUACUGUUCUCAUCACCUGUUAUUGUUUAUUAUGGUGCGGAUGAAGUGUUUAUAUAGUGGUUAUGUGUACUGAGUCUGCUUAGAAGGUUGGAACUUUCUCCAUGGUGUGCGAAGGUUAAGUGUGUUUCAAGUGUGUUGGUGUAUUCGUGCUUGGCUAAACAGUGUGACAUGUGAGUGAGGUCGAGACUCGUGUCUAUCUGAGGUAGAGUGUCAUUGUAGAUGUUGAGGUGAUGUUAUAUAGUAGGUAGAGUGUCAUUGUAGAUUUUGAGGUGAUGUUAUAUAGUAGGUAGAGUGUCAUUGUAGAUUUUGAGGUGAUGUUAUAUAGUAGGUGGAGUGUCAUAGUAGAUUUUGAGGUGAUGUUAUAUAGUAGGUGGAGUGUCAUUGUAGAUUUUGAGGUGAUGUUAUAUAGUAGGUGGAGUGUCAUUGUAGAUUUUGAGGUGAUGUUAUAUAGUAGGUGGAGUGUCAUUGUAGAUUUUGAGGUGAUGUUAUAUAGUUUUGUGUAAGACAUUAGUUUAGUGUUUUAUUCUCUUAUACACUGCCAGGUAUACGUUAUAAACUGAAUCCCGGUGAGUAAUGUACCCAAAUAUGUGAAAUAAUCCCUAAAUAAUCAAUAUUAUUAUUAUUAUUAUUAUUAUUAUUAUUAUUACAGUAUGUUAUUCGACUUAGGUGCCUUGUUCCUCCCGUAAUAAAUGGCACAAACCUCCACAUGCUUGCGGAAAUGAAUGUGAUUGAGUGUAGUUGGUUAUGACGUGUGAUGAUGCUGGUGACGUCAAGGAACCGUCAGUGCUCGUCCUGCUUAGCUCGUUAGUGUGUGGAUGUGAUUGCUUGUUCUGUGAAGUAUCAACUCAUUAAUCUUGUAUUUGCUUCUAAAUAAAUUAUUAAAAGAA
This 1640-nucleotide long non-coding RNA is filed under the name Homarus americanus (American lobster). RNAcentral's name for it is "uncharacterized LOC121872072". The record is from RNAcentral. Lineage: Eukaryota; Metazoa; Arthropoda; Malacostraca; Decapoda; Nephropidae.